This is a long non-coding RNA of Brienomyrus brachyistius, 324 nucleotides long. RefSeq lists it as uncharacterized. NCBI's taxonomy places the organism in Eukaryota, Metazoa, Chordata, Actinopteri, Osteoglossiformes, Mormyridae. The record is from RefSeq and is a predicted model, not a curated record. The transcript has 2 exons.
CACCUCUUCCAGGAAGCUGUCCUCCACAAGCCUGACGAUCUCGUACAUGGCUGCCUUGAAGACCGUCUCCAUGACGCCGGAUAGCUGCGCCUGGAACGCCAGGAUGGCCUCCGACAUCUCGGGUCUCCUUGCCUUGUGCCCUGUGUUCUGCAGAGAGGAUGCAAGCUCAGCACCACCACAGAGGGCACUUAUAGAAGGAGAAGGGGCAGAGCAAAGUGAAUCACAGCAGGCAAGGUGACCUUUCACAAUAUGACCCCUUCAUGGGGAAUGACAGACACAGCAGAGUUAUUCAUGAAAUCCUUAAAUAAAUCCUUUAUUAAGGCA